UGGGGAAUAUUGCACAAUGGGCGAAAGCCUGAUGCAGCGACGCCGCGUGCGGGAUGAAGGCCUUCGGGUUGUAAACCGCUUUUAAUUGGGAGCAAGCGAGAGUGAGUGUACCUUUUGAAUAAGCACCGGCUAACUACGUGCCAGCAGCCGCGGUAAUACGUAGGGUGCAAGCGUUAUCCGGAAUUAUUGGGCGUAAAGAGCUCGUAGGCGGUUUGUCACGCCUGGUGUGAAAGUCCAUCGCUUAACGGUGGAUCUGCGCCGGGUACGGGCAGGCUAGAGUGCAGUAGGGGAGAUUGGAAUUCCCGGUGUAACGGUGGAAUGUGUAGAUAUCGGGAAGAACACCAAUGGCGAAGGCAGAUCUCUGGGCUGUUACUGACGCUGAGGAGCGAAAGCAUGGGGAGCGAACAGGAUUAGAUACCCGUGGUAGUCCAUGCCGUAAACGGUGGAUGC
This 450-nucleotide ribosomal RNA is filed under the name uncultured bacterium. Its description in RNAcentral is "partial 16S ribosomal RNA". It matches the Rfam family "Bacterial small subunit ribosomal RNA", at positions 355 to 816 of the family's 1533-position model. The record is from RNAcentral.